RNAcentral lists this ribosomal RNA (208 nucleotides) under uncultured bacterium. RNAcentral describes it as "partial 16S ribosomal RNA". It matches the Rfam family "Bacterial small subunit ribosomal RNA", at positions 567 to 775 of the family's 1533-position model. The record is from RNAcentral.
UUGCGUAGGUGGCAUAGUAAGUAGAUAGUGAAAGCGUGUGGCUCAACCAUACAUCCAUUAUCUAAACUGCUAAGCUUGAGAAUGAGAGAGGUAGAUGGAAUUCCUAAUGUAGGGUAAUAUCCGUAGAUAUUAGGAGGAACACCGAUGGCGUAAGCAGUCUACUGGCUCAUUUCUGACACUAAGGCACGAAAGCGUGGGGAGCGAAACG